RNAcentral lists this ribosomal RNA (363 nucleotides) under Triticum aestivum (bread wheat). RNAcentral's name for it is "partial small subunit ribosomal RNA". The record is from RNAcentral. Lineage: Eukaryota; Viridiplantae; Streptophyta; Magnoliopsida; Poales; Poaceae.
AUGGCGCGGGCUCCUGUCGACAGAGAAAAAGAGAACAGAGAGAGAGGAGAGAGGGGAAACACAGGGAGGAAAACGGGAAGGAGAAGAAGGAGGCGACGCUCAUCUGGUUGGCUGCUGGGCAUGAGCGAGGCCGGCGAGGCGGCGGCAGGAGGGCUCCAUGGACGCCAUGGCUGGGCGCUGCAGUCACCGACGCGGACGGCAGACGCACGGCGGCGCAGCAGGGGCACGGCGGGCACGGUGUGGGAAUGGAGGCAGCGCAGCAGGGGCACGGCGGGAACGCGUAAGCCGGUGGUGACUUCCAUGGCGCCGGUGUGCUCCUGUGAAGAGAGCAAAGAGAGAGAUGAGGUGAGGGGAGAACCAUAG